Molecule: ribosomal RNA, 1128 nt
Filed under: Salmonella enterica
Lineage: Bacteria; Pseudomonadati; Pseudomonadota; Gammaproteobacteria; Enterobacterales; Enterobacteriaceae
Description: partial 23S ribosomal RNA
Rfam family: Bacterial large subunit ribosomal RNA
Source: RNAcentral
CGUAUCACCCAAGACAACUUUACGGAGUUGACGAUUGACGGAGCGAAGCGACGUCAAAGCGUUCAUUAAAGUCGAGUUGGCUUAGGGAUACGUUCGUUGGGUAGGGGAGCGUUCUGUAAGCCUGUGAAGGUGUGUCGUGAGGCAUGCUGGAGGUAUCAGAAGUGCGAAUGCUGACAUAAGUAACGAUAAAGCGGGUGAAAAGCCCGCUCGCCGGAAGACCAAGGGUUCCUGUCCAACGUUAAUCGGGGCAGGGUGAGUCGACCCCUAAGGCGAGGCCGAAAGGCGUAGUCGAUGGGAAACGGGUUAAUAUUCCCGUACUUGGUGUUACUGCGAAGGGGGGACGGAGAAGGCUAUGUUGGCCGGGCGACGGUUGUCCCGGUUUAAGCGUGUAGGUGUGUGUUCCAGGUAAAUCCGGUUCACUUUAACACUGAGGCGUGACGACGAGGCACUACGGUGCUGAAGCAACAAAUGCCCUGCUUCCAGGAAAAGCCUCUAAGCAUCAGGUAACACGAAAUCGUACCCCAAACCGACACAGGUGGUCAGGUAGAGAAUACCAAGGCGCUUGAGAGAACUCGGGUGAAGGAACUAGGCAAAAUGGUGCCGUAACUUCGGGAGAAGGCACGCUGACACGUAGGUGAAGUGAUUUACUCACGGAGCUGAAGUCAGUCGAAGAUACCAGCUGGCUGCAACUGUUUAUUAAAAACACAGCACUGUGCAAACACGAAAGUGGACGUAUACGGUGUGACGCCUGCCCGGUGCCGGAAGGUUAAUUGAUGGGGUCAGCGCAAGCGAAGCUCCUGAUCGAAGCCCCGGUAAACGGCGGCCGUAACUAUAACGGUCCUAAGGUAGCGAAAUUCCUUGUCGGGUAAGUUCCGACCUGCACGAAUGGCGUAAUGAUGGCCAGGCUGUCUCCACCCGAGACUCAGUGAAAUUGAACUCGCUGUGAAGAUGCAGUGUACCCGCGGCAAGACGGAAAGACCCCGUGAACCUUUACUAUAGCUUGACACUGAACAUUGAGCCUUGAUGUGUAGGAUAGGUGGGAGGCUUUGAAGUGUGGACGCCAGUCUGCAUGGAGCCGACCUUGAAAUACCACCCUUUAAUGUUUGAUGUUCUAACGUGGACCCGUAA